Molecule: ribosomal RNA, 423 nt
Filed under: uncultured bacterium
Lineage: Bacteria
Description: bacterial SSU rRNA
Rfam family: Bacterial small subunit ribosomal RNA
Source: RNAcentral
UGGGGAAUAUUGCACAAUGGGGGGAAACCCUGAUGCAGCGACGCCGCGUGAACGAAGAAGUAUUUCGGUAUGUAAAGUUCUAUCAGCAGGGAAGAUAAUGACGGUACCCUUGGAGGAAGCCCCGGCUAACUACGUGCCAGCAGCCGCGGUAAUACGUAGGGGGCAAGCGUUGUCCGGAAUUAUUGGGCGUAAAGAGUGCGUAGGUGGUUACCUAAGCAGGGGGUGAAAGGCAUUGGCUUAAACCAAUGUUAGCCCCCUGAACUGGGCUACUUGAGUGCAGGAGAGGAAAGCGGAAUUCCUAGUGUAGCGGUGAAAUGCGUAGAUAUUAGGAGGAACACCAGUGGCGAAGGCGGCUUUCUGGACUGUUACUGACACUGAGGCACGAAAGUGUGGGGAGCAAACAGGAUUAGAUACCCUGGUAGU